GUUGAAGGCUGGGGUGGGGGGCGGAGGGAGCAAAUCAGGUGAAUGCUGCGUGGUCAGGCCUGCUGAAGGCCCCCUGGCACAGCCACCCGUUUCCCUGGAUCACGCCAUCUUCUGCAUUGUACCCAGGAUUGUGCUGUGAUGACGCCCGGGGACAGGGAUGCAAGGCCUAUUUUCUGGCCCCUUGUCAUGUGCAGUGCAGUGUCUAAGAUGGCAGUGUGGGAUUGCAGAGAGGGCCCUGAUGGAAGUGAAUCUAAACAUCUGGGCUCCAGCCACGCUCUGACAGCCGUGAGUUUGGGCAACCCGUCAGCUCUACCUUCACCAAAUAUGCAGAAUUGGACACUUUCCACCGUCUUCACUUCCACUGUCCUGGUUCAAACCAUCAUGGCCUCUCACCAGGUCCAGUUGUUGAGGACAUCACUUCACUGGCCCAUGUU
Hipposideros armiger (great roundleaf bat) is the source of this 434-nucleotide long non-coding RNA. RefSeq lists it as uncharacterized. The record is from RefSeq and is a predicted model, not a curated record. Lineage: Eukaryota; Metazoa; Chordata; Mammalia; Chiroptera; Hipposideridae. The transcript is spliced from 3 exons.